AGCGGGGUAGGGCAGAAUGCUCGGAGAAUUCCCUGCAUGUCCAAUCAGGAGUGCCCGAUGGGCUCAUAACCCAUAGGUCGCUGGUUCAAAUCCAGCCCCCGCUA
RNAcentral lists this transfer RNA (104 nucleotides) under Candidatus Woesearchaeota archaeon. Its description in RNAcentral is "tRNA-Met". It matches the Rfam family "tRNA". Rfam says of the family: Transfer RNA (tRNA) molecules are approximately 80 nucleotides in length. The record is from RNAcentral. Lineage: Archaea; Nanobdellati; Candidatus Woesearchaeota.